This 478-nucleotide ribosomal RNA is filed under the name uncultured bacterium. RNAcentral's name for it is "partial 16S ribosomal RNA". It matches the Rfam family "Bacterial small subunit ribosomal RNA", at positions 28 to 507 of the family's 1533-position model. The record is from RNAcentral.
GAUGAACGCUGGCGGCGUGCUUAACACAUGCAAGUCGAACGGGAAUUAUUUUAUUGCACCUUCGGUCGAUUUAAUUUAAUUCUAGUGGCGGACGGGUGAGUAACGCGUGGGUAACCUGCCUUAUACAGGGGGAUAACAGUCAGAAAUGGCUGCUAAUACCGCAUAAGCGCACAGAGCUGCAUGGCUCAGUGUGAAAAACUCCGGUGGUAUAAGAUGGACCCGCGUUGGAUUAGCUGGUUGGUGGGGUAACGGCCCACCAAGGCGACGAUCCAUAGCCGGCCUGAGAGGGUGAACGGCCACAUUGGGACUGAGACACGGCCCAGACUCCUACGGGAGGCAGCAGUGGGGAAUAUUGCACAAUGGGGGAAACCCUGAUGCAGCGACGCCGCGUGAAGGAAGAAGUAUCUCGGUAUGUAAACUUCUAUCAGCAGGGAAGAUAGUGACGGUACCUGACUAAGAAGCCCCGGCUAACUACGUG